GACGAACGCUGGCGGCGUGCUUAACACAUGCAAGUCGAACGGAAAGGCCCUGCUUUUGUGGGGUGCUCGAGUGGCGAACGGGUGAGUAACACGUGAGUAACCUGCCCUUGACUUUGGGAUAACUUCAGGAAACUGGGGCUAAUACCGGGUAGGAGCUCCUGCUGCAUGGGGGGGGUUGGAAAGUUUCGGCGGUUGGGGAUGGACUCGCGGCUUAUCAGCUUGUUGGGGGGGUAGUGGCUUACCAAGGCUUUGACGGGUAGCCGGCCUGAGAGGGUGACCGGCCACAUUGGGACUGAGAUACGGCCCAGACUCCUACGGGAGGCAGCAGUGGGGAAUAUUGCACAAUGGGCGGAAGCCUGAUGCAGCAACGCCGCGUGCGGGAUGACGGCCUUCGGGUUGUAAACCGCUUUCGCCUGUGACGAAGCGUGAGUGACGGUAAUGGGUAAAGAAGCACCGGCUAACUACGUG
Molecule: ribosomal RNA, 468 nt
Filed under: uncultured bacterium
Lineage: Bacteria
Description: partial 16S ribosomal RNA
Rfam family: Bacterial small subunit ribosomal RNA
Source: RNAcentral